This 696-nucleotide ribosomal RNA is filed under the name uncultured bacterium. Its description in RNAcentral is "bacterial SSU rRNA". It matches the Rfam family "Bacterial small subunit ribosomal RNA", at positions 629 to 1326 of the family's 1533-position model. The record is from RNAcentral.
AAAACUAUUGGGCUAGAGUGUGGGAGAGGAAGAUGGAAUUAGUUGUGUAGGGGUAAAAUCCGUAGAGAUAACUAGGAAUACCAAAAGCGAAGGCAAUCUUCUGGAACACUACUGACGCUGAGGCGCGAAGGCGUGGGGAGCAAACAGGAUUAGAUACCCUGGUAGUCCACGCAGUAAACGAUGAGAGUUAGUCGUCGGGUAGCUAGUCUAUUCGGUGAUGCAGCUAACGCAUUAAACAUUCCGCCUGGGGAGUACGGUCGCAAGAUUAAAACUCAAAGGAAUAGACGGGGACCCGCACAAGUGGUGGAGCAUGUGGUUUAAUUCGAAGAUACGCGAAGAACCUUACCUAGCCUUGACAUAUAUUAGAACAGACCAGAGAUGGACUGGUGCCUUCGGGAGCUUUUAUACAGGUGCUGCACGGCUGUCGUCAGCUCGUGUCGUGAGAUGUUGGGUUAAGUCCCGCAACGAGCGCAACCCUCGUCACUAGUUACUAACGGUUCGGCCGAGGACUCUAGUGAGACUGCCUUCGCAAGGAGGAGGAAGGUGAGGACGACGUCAAGUCAUCAUGGCCCUUACGGCUAGGGCAACACACGUGCUACAAUGGCCAGGACAAUGAGACGCGAUACCGCGAGGUGGAGCAAAUCUAUAAACCUGGUCUCAGUUCGGAUUGUAGUCUGCAACUCGACUACAUGAAGC